AUAUCAAUAAGCGGAGGAAAAGAAACCAACAGGGAUUGCCUCAGUAACGGCGAGUGAAGCGGCAACAGCUCAAAUUUGAAAUCUGGCCCCCUCGGGGUCCGAGUUGUAAUUUGCAGAGGAUGUUUCGGGUACCGCUCCGGUUUAAAUUUCUUGGAACAGAAUGUCAGAGAGGGUGAGAAUCCCGUCUUGGACCGGUGGUAGGGCCCGUGUGAAACUCCUUCGACGAGUCGAGUUGUUUGGGAAUGCAGACCUAAAUGGGUGGUAAAUACCAUCUAAAGCUAAAUACUAGCGAGAGACCGAUAGCGCACAAGUA
This 313-nucleotide ribosomal RNA is filed under the name uncultured Phialophora. Its description in RNAcentral is "partial large subunit ribosomal RNA". It matches the Rfam family "Eukaryotic large subunit ribosomal RNA", at positions 40 to 350 of the family's 3401-position model. Lineage: Eukaryota; Fungi; Ascomycota; Leotiomycetes. The record is from RNAcentral.